GUCUACGGCCAUACCACCCUGACCGUGCCCCCUCUCAUCUGAUCUCGGAAGCUAAGCAGAGUCGGGCCUGGUUAAUACUUGGAUGGGAGACCUCCUGGGAAUACUGGGUGCUAUAGGCU
Molecule: ribosomal RNA, 119 nt
Filed under: Cervus hanglu yarkandensis (Yarkand deer)
Lineage: Eukaryota; Metazoa; Chordata; Mammalia; Artiodactyla; Cervidae
Source: RNAcentral